RNAcentral lists this ribosomal RNA (515 nucleotides) under uncultured bacterium. Its description in RNAcentral is "partial 16S ribosomal RNA". It matches the Rfam family "Bacterial small subunit ribosomal RNA", at positions 28 to 523 of the family's 1533-position model. The record is from RNAcentral.
GAUGAACGCUGGCGGCGUGCCUAAUACAUGCAAGUCGAGCGAAUGGAUUAAGAGCUUGCUCUUAUGAAGUUAGCGGCGGACGGGUGAGUAGCACGUGGGUAACCUGCCCAUAAGACUGGGAUAACUCCGGGAAACCGGGGCUAAUACCGGAUAACAUUUUGAACCGCAUGGUUCGAAAUUGAAAGGCGGCUUCGGCUGUCACUUAUGGAUGGACCCGCGUCGCAUUAGCUAGUUGGUGAGGUAACGGCCCACCAAGGCAACGAUGCGUAGCCGACCUGAGAGGGUGAUCGGCCACACUGGGACUGAGACACGGCCCAGACUCCUACGGGAGGCAGCAGUAGGGAAUCUUCCGCAAUGGACGAAAGUCUGACGGAGCAACGCCGCGUGAGUGAUGAAGGCUUUCGGGUCGUAAAACUCUGUUGUUAGGGAAGAACAAGUGCUAGUUGAAUAAGCUGGCACCUCGACGGUACCUAACCAGAAAGCCACGGCUAACUACGUGCCAGCCGCCGCCGUAA